AGCCUUCUGAAUUUGUGCCGAUAUUUCGUCAGACACCAUACCAUCAGUACUGAUGACACUCUCAAUACACAAGUGGAGCG
Molecule: non-coding RNA, 80 nt
Organism: Schistosoma mansoni
Lineage: Eukaryota; Metazoa; Platyhelminthes; Trematoda; Strigeidida; Schistosomatidae
Source: Rfam